This 435-nucleotide ribosomal RNA is filed under the name uncultured Mollicutes bacterium. RNAcentral describes it as "bacterial SSU rRNA". It matches the Rfam family "Bacterial small subunit ribosomal RNA", at positions 944 to 1382 of the family's 1533-position model. Lineage: Bacteria; Bacillati; Mycoplasmatota; Mollicutes. The record is from RNAcentral.
GUUUAAUUCGAAGAUACACGAAGAACCUUACCAGGUCUUGACAUACCAUCGACAGGCACAGAGAUGUGCUCUCCUUCGGGCAAUGGAUACAGGUGGUGCAUGGUUGUCGUCAGCUCGUGCCGUGAGGUGUUGGGUUAAGUCCCGCAACGAGCGCAACCCUCAUUGUUAGUUACUACCAUUCAGUUGAGGACUCUAAUGAGACUGCCAACGACAAGUUGGAGGAAGGUGGGGAUGACGUCAAAUCAUCAUGCCCUUUAUGACCUGGGCUACAAACGUACUACAAUGGCCAAUACAAAGAGAUGCGAAGCGGUGACGUGGAGCGAACCUCAGAAAGUUGGUCUCAGUUCAGAUUGAAGUCUGCAACUCGACUUCAUGAAGGCGGAGUCGCUAGUAAUCGCGGGUCAGCAGACCGCGGUGAAUACGUUCCCGGGUUUU